Molecule: ribosomal RNA, 253 nt
Filed under: uncultured bacterium
Lineage: Bacteria
Description: partial 16S ribosomal RNA
Rfam family: Bacterial small subunit ribosomal RNA
Source: RNAcentral
UACGGAAGGUGCAAGCGUUGUUCGGAAUGACUGGGCGUAAAGAGCACGUAGGCGGUUUUGUAAGUCGAUUGUGAAAGCCCCGGGCUUAACCCGGGAACAGCAGUCGAAACUAUAAAUCUUGAAUGCCCCAGAGGUUGGUGGAAUUCCAGGUGUAGGAGUGAAAUCCGUAGAUAUCUGGAGGAACAUCGGAGGCGAAGGCGGCCGACUGGGGGUGCAUUGACGCUGAGGUGCGAAAGCGUGGGUAGCAAACAGG